Non-coding RNA from Oryctolagus cuniculus (rabbit), 234 nucleotides. Lineage: Eukaryota; Metazoa; Chordata; Mammalia; Lagomorpha; Leporidae. The record is from RefSeq and is a predicted model, not a curated record.
UUGCUAGUAGCCAGGGUUUAAGCAUGGGGGACUUCUCAGAGGUGACAAAGCUGUACUGCAUCUUUACUGCCGUGAUGGUGAACAGAGCUCUCAAUAUGUGUCAGAAUCCGUGAAACUCCACACUCCCUGAAAGAGAGAAUUUCACAAUUUGUAAAUGACACAAGGCAAUGCAUUGAUGAUGCUUGUCCAGCAAAUCUUGUGUCUAAAAGCAAGAAUUAAAGUGCAUUGAAUGCC